CCUACGGGGGGCUGCAGUGGGGAAUAUUGGACAAUGGGGGCAACCCUGAUCCAGCCAUGCCGCGUGUGUGAAGAAGGCCCUCGGGUUGUAAAGCACUUUCAGUGAGGAAGAACGCCUGGUGGUUAAUACCCAUCAGGAAAGACAUCACUCACAGAAGAAGCACCGGCUAACUCCGUGCCAGCAGCCGCGGUAAUACGGAGGGUGCGAGCGUUAAUCGGAAUUACUGGGCGUAAAGCGCGCGUAGGUGGCUUGAUAAGCCGGUUGUGAAAGCCCCGGGCUUAACCUGGGAACGGCAUCCGGAACUGUCAAGCUAGAGUGCAGGAGAGGAAGGUAGAAUUCCCGGUGUAGCGGUGAAAUGCGUAGAGAUCGGGAGGAAUACCAGUGGCGAAGGCGGCCUUCUGGACUGACACUGACACUGAGGUGCGAAAGCGUGGGUAGCAAACAGGAUUAGAUACCCGUGUAGUC
Molecule: ribosomal RNA, 465 nt
Filed under: Vreelandella stevensii
Lineage: Bacteria; Pseudomonadati; Pseudomonadota; Gammaproteobacteria; Oceanospirillales; Halomonadaceae
Description: partial 16S ribosomal RNA
Rfam family: Bacterial small subunit ribosomal RNA
Source: RNAcentral